RNAcentral lists this ribosomal RNA (815 nucleotides) under uncultured bacterium. Its description in RNAcentral is "bacterial SSU rRNA". It matches the Rfam family "Bacterial small subunit ribosomal RNA", at positions 1 to 811 of the family's 1533-position model. The record is from RNAcentral.
UAGAGUUUGAUCCUGGCUCAGGAUGAACGCUAGCUACAGGCUUAACACAUGCAAGUCGAGGGGCAGCAUUAUCGGAGCUUGCUUUGAUAGAUGGCGACCGGCGCACGGGUGAGUAACGCGUAUCCAACCUUCCCCUUAGUAGAGGAUAGCCCGGCGAAAGUCGGAUUAAUACUCUAUGUUGUAUUUUGAGGACAUCUGACGAAUACCAAAGAUUUAUCGCUAAGGGAUGGGGAUGCGUCUGAUUAGCUUGUCGGCGGGGUAACGGCCCACCGAGGCGACGAUCAGUAGGGGUUCUGAGAGGAAGGUCCCCCACAUUGGUACUGAGACACGGACCAAACUCCUACGGGAGGCAGCAGUGAGGAAUAUUGGUCAAUGGGCGUAGGCCUGAACCAGCCAAGUAGCGUGCAGGAUGACUGCCCUAUGGGUUGUAAACUGCUUUUAUGCGGGAAUAAAGUCAGGUACGGGUACCUGUUUGCAUGUACCGCAUGAAUAAGGACCGGCUAAUUCCGUGCCAGCAGCCGCGGUAAUACGGAAGGUCCGGGCGUUAUCCGGAUUUAUUGGGUUUAAAGGGAGCGCAGGCGGAGGAUUAAGCGUGACGUGAAAUGUCCCGGCUCAACCGUGGAACUGCGUCGCGAACUGGUUUUCUUGAGUGAGUGCGACGUCGGCGGAAUUCGUGGUGUAGCGGUGAAAUGCUUAGAUAUCACGAAGAACCCCGAUUGCGAAGGCAGCCGACGAGUCCUUAACUGACGCUAAAGCUCGAAAGUGCGGGUAUCGAACAGGAUUAGAUACCCUGGUAGUCCGCGCGGUAAACGAUG